This 503-nucleotide long non-coding RNA is filed under the name Homo sapiens (human). RNAcentral's name for it is "HSALNT0394133". The record is from RNAcentral. Lineage: Eukaryota; Metazoa; Chordata; Mammalia; Primates; Hominidae.
GAUUUUCCCUUUCUGCACUUGCUGAGGCCUGACUGGGUGUCCAGCACUGGGGGAAGAUGUAGGAAAAGGAGACUCCAUCGUCUUUCCCCGGGCGCAGGAAGUUUAUGUGUAUGAGGCAGAGUAACCCAAGGAUGCCAAGGAUCCAAAUGAGAGUGAAAGCGGAAUACCUGGUUAUCCGGAGGUCACUGUCUCCACACAGAGUGGUGUCCUUGAUGCUAGCUUGGGGCAAAGAAGCCAGGCCAGCUUGUGGUUGCAAUAGGAAUAGAAGAGACUUCCUUACUCCAAUCCCACCCUACCCCCUCAUCCUGCCUCAACCAGUCAUGCAGAGAGAUGCUGAAUGGCUGCCUGCUCUCAGGGGAAUGAUUUGUGGAGGUUUAAUUAAAAUAAUUUAAUCAAUCAAAUCCAACAAAUAUUCGCUGAGUACCUACCAUAGUUAAGAACUUACUACAUUGUAUACUUACUGAAAGUCUUUAUUUUUGCCUCUCCAUGUCGUUGAGAUCACC